GAUGAACGCGGGCGGCGUGCCUAAUACAUGCAAGUCGAGCGAACGGACGAGAAGCUUGCUUCUCUGAUGUUAGCGGCGGACGGGUGAGUAACACGUGGAUAACCUACCUAUAAGACUGGGAUAACUUCGGGAAACCGGAGCUAAUACCGGAUAAUAUUUUGAACCGCAUGGUUCAAAAGUGAAAGACGGUCUUGCUGUCACUUAUAGAUGGAUCCGCGCUGCAUUAGCUAGUUGGUAAGGUAACGGCUUACCAAGGCAACGAUGCAUAGCCGACCUGAGAGGGUGAUCGGCCACACUGGAACUGAGACACGGUCCAGACUCCUACGGGAGGCAGCAGUAGGGAAUCUUCCGCAAUGGGCGAAAGCCUGACGGAGCAACGCCGCGUGAGUGAUGAAGGUCUCCGGAUCGUAAAACUCUGUUAUUAGGGAAGAACAUAUGUGUAAGUAACUGUGCACAUCUUGACGGUACCUAAUCAGAAAGCCACGGCUAACUACGUG
RNAcentral lists this ribosomal RNA (497 nucleotides) under uncultured bacterium. Its description in RNAcentral is "partial 16S ribosomal RNA". It matches the Rfam family "Bacterial small subunit ribosomal RNA", at positions 28 to 507 of the family's 1533-position model. The record is from RNAcentral.